This 76-nucleotide transfer RNA is filed under the name Stieleria maiorica. RNAcentral describes it as "tRNA-Gly". The record is from RNAcentral. Lineage: Bacteria; Pseudomonadati; Planctomycetota; Planctomycetia; Pirellulales; Pirellulaceae.
GGUCUUUUCGCGCCGGUGCAGCGACGUCCUCCCCGAGGACGUGCGGUACGCUCCCGUUCGAGCCGGGUAGCGUCCG